Non-coding RNA from Terrapene triunguis (Three-toed box turtle), 399 nucleotides. Lineage: Eukaryota; Metazoa; Chordata; Testudines; Emydidae. The record is from the annotation of a RefSeq genome assembly.
CUCAGGAAGCCGAGCUCGUCUGGAUUCCCACCAUGGCCUGGGCCCCUCUGCUCCUCACGCUGCUCACUUACUGCUCAGGUUCUCUCGCCCAGUACGUGCUGACUCAACCGCCCUCAGUGUCUGUGUCUCCAGGGCAAAAUGCUCAACUCACCUGCUCAGGAAACAACAUUGGGGAUAAGUAUGUGCAGUGGUACCAACAGAAACCUGGCAGCGCCCCCGUACUCGUUAUAUAUAAGGAUAAUGAAAGACCCUCCGGAAUCCCUGAGCGAUUCUCUGGUGCCAACUCCGGUAACACGGCCACGUUAACCAUCACUGGAGUCCAGGCACAGGACGAGGCUGAUUAUUACUGUCAGGUGUGGGAUGCUAGCGCUGCUCACAGUGACACAACCAGAUGGGGAA